Molecule: ribosomal RNA, 510 nt
Filed under: uncultured bacterium
Lineage: Bacteria
Description: partial 16S ribosomal RNA
Rfam family: Bacterial small subunit ribosomal RNA
Source: RNAcentral
GACGAACGCUGGCGGCGUGCCUAAUACAUGCAAGUAGAACGCUGAAGGAGGAGCUUACUUCUCUGGAUGAGUUGCGAACGGGUGAGUAACGCGUAGGUAACCUGCCUGGUAGCGGGGGAUAACUAUUGGAAACGAUAGCUAAUACCGCAUAAGAGUAGAUGUUGCAUGACAUUACUUAAAAGGUGCAAUUGCACCACUACCAGAUGGACCUGCGUUGUGUUAGCUAGUUGGUGGGGUAACGGCUUACCAAGGCGACGAUACAUAGCCGACCUGAGAGGGUGAUCGGCCACUCUGGGACUGAGACACGGCCCAGACUCCGACGGGAGGCAGCAGUAGGGAAUCUUCGGCAAUGGACGGAAGUCUGACCGAGCAACGCCGCGUGAGUGAAGAAGGUUUUCGGAUCGUAAAGCUCUGUUGUAAGAGAAGAACGAGUGUGAGAGUGGAAAGUUCACACUGUGACGGUAUCUUACCAGAAAGGGACGGCUAACUACGUGCCAGCCGCCGCCGUAA